AAAAAAAUUAGAUAACUAGAAGAUGUGGAUAACUUCCUAGAAACAUACAACCUUCCUAGACUGAAUCAUGAAGUAGACACCCAAAUCA
This is a long non-coding RNA of Nomascus leucogenys (northern white-cheeked gibbon), 88 nucleotides long. RefSeq lists it as uncharacterized. NCBI's taxonomy places the organism in Eukaryota, Metazoa, Chordata, Mammalia, Primates, Hylobatidae. The record is from RefSeq and is a predicted model, not a curated record. The transcript is spliced from 3 exons.